This 29-nucleotide non-coding RNA is filed under the name Rattus norvegicus (Norway rat). Lineage: Eukaryota; Metazoa; Chordata; Mammalia; Rodentia; Muridae. The record is from RNAcentral.
UCUGCUUUCUGAGAAACGGUGUUGGUUUG